AGGGAAGAAACUGUUUAGUCAUAAUACGGCUAUUCACUGACGGUACCUCCAGAGGAAGCACCGGCUAACUCCGCGCCAGCAGCCGCAGUAAUACGGAGGGUGCGAGCGUUAAUCGGAAUCACUGGGCGUAAGGCGUGCGUAGGCGGCGCGGUAAGUCAGACGUGAAAGCCCUCGGCUCAACCGAGGAAUUGCGUUUGAAACUGCUGUGCUUGAGUCUCGGAGAGGUUGGCGGAAUUCCAGGUGUAGGAGUGAAAUCCGUAGAUAUCUGGAGGAACACCGGUGGCGAAGGCGGCCAACUGGACGAGUACUGACGCUGAGGUACGAAAGCGUGGGGAGCAAACAGGAUUAGAUACCCUGGUAGUCCACGCCGUAAACGAUGGAUAUUAGGUGUCGGGGGUAACCCUUCGGUGCCGCAGUCUACACGCGUUAAAUAUCCCGCCUGGGGAGUAC
This 450-nucleotide ribosomal RNA is filed under the name uncultured delta proteobacterium. RNAcentral describes it as "bacterial SSU rRNA". It matches the Rfam family "Bacterial small subunit ribosomal RNA", at positions 441 to 883 of the family's 1533-position model. The record is from RNAcentral. Lineage: Bacteria; Deltaproteobacteria.